RNAcentral lists this ribosomal RNA (110 nucleotides) under uncultured bacterium. RNAcentral describes it as "partial 16S ribosomal RNA". The record is from RNAcentral.
CCGUUCGGGUUGUAAAGCUUCUUUUGUCGAAGGGAAAGGAAACGGGUUGGUUUCUUAAUACAGAUCACUAAUGACGGUACCUGAAGAAUAAGCACCGGCUAACUACGUGC